This 372-nucleotide ribosomal RNA is filed under the name uncultured bacterium. Its description in RNAcentral is "bacterial SSU rRNA". It matches the Rfam family "Bacterial small subunit ribosomal RNA", at positions 525 to 896 of the family's 1533-position model. The record is from RNAcentral.
ACGUAGGGUGCGAGCGUUAAUCGGAAUUACUGGGCGUAAAGCGUGCGCAGGCGGUUUUAUAAGACAGAUGUGAAAUCCCCGGGCUUAACCUGGGAACUGCAUUUGUGACUGUAAGGCUAGAGUACGGCAGAGGGGUGUAUAAUUCCACGUGUAGCAGUGAAAUGCGUAGAUAUGUGGAGGAAUACCGAUGGCGAAGGCAGCCCCCUGGGUCGAUACUGACGCUCAUGCACGAAAGCGUGGGGAGCAAACAGGAUUAGAUACCCUGGUAGUCCACGCCCUAAACGAUGUCAACUAGGUGUUGGGGAGGAGACUUCCUUAGUACCGCAGCUAACGCGUGAAGUUGACCGCCUGGGGAGUACGGCCGCAAGGUUG